UCUAAACUAGGUAUGAUGGCACUCAAGCUACCUAUGUGAGUUAGGUACAAACAUGAAAAUAACUCCUAAAUAUAAUCCUACACUCAAGGGAAAGAACUAUAGAAACCGAGAAAACUUAAUAAGAACCAGACAGUCAAGCAUUCAAUACAAUAUACAUAGCUAUAACCUUUGAGAUCUCGCACACUUAUCGGUAGCUACUUCGUGGCAUGACAAACAGGGUAGACUCUACUCUUAGUGGUUCAAGAUCCUCUCAUCUCCAUCCAAGUGCCAACUUACAUCUCAUCUUUCUUGGUUCACGUGGAAACUUGCUUCAAUGUAGGUAAGAUAGAAGAUUUCAAGGCAAGAGAGGUAGAAUCAAUAUAAGUCAAGGAUGUAUACAGGAAAUAGAACAUUUAGAAUGUUCUAAGGCUAACGACCAAACUAGGGUUGCAUGCUACGGUCAAGUUCAGCUCUGAUACUAUCUGAAACGAACUAGAUUUUCAUUUCUGAGAAUCCGACUCCCUGUACCCUUGCGAUAGUUCCUGGAUCAGUAGCUAUCACAUACAGAACUCAUUUCAGCAUAAUAUCAUUUCCAUACAACAAAAUCAACUCAGAAUACAAAUAUGAUACAGCCCCCUUGGGCUAAACAACAUACAAAACUCAUACGCAGCGGAAACUAGGGCUUCAAGUUUUCAUCUCCGAUCUUCACCAUAGGCAUCCUUGAGAGAAGCAACGCGACCCUUUCUUCAUGAAUUCUUCAUGAUUGGACUUUCACUCCAAGUCCAUACCUGCAC
Molecule: long non-coding RNA, 773 nt
Filed under: Setaria viridis
Lineage: Eukaryota; Viridiplantae; Streptophyta; Magnoliopsida; Poales; Poaceae
Description: long non-coding RNA (SVIR_LNC007624)
Source: RNAcentral